UUGCUCUCAGUAGGGCCUGGCAGUAGGUGGGUGUAAUUCGUUAAGUGCAAUUGAAUGGGCAUAAUUGAUGUGCAAAAGAGGUCAAGAUGUCAACCAAGAGAAAGGAGGACAAGGCAGAGGAAGCACAUGCAGAAGCCAAGGCUGCUAGCUCAACACAGGACCAAGGGGCUGCGCUGGAGGACCCAAAGGACACCAUUGCAGAAUUGGCAGGGAUGGUCAAGAUCCUUCUUCAGUCCCAAGCAGCAAAGUAUAAGUGAAUGGAGAAGGAGGCCCCCUGUCAGGACCAGAGGUGGGGCAGCAUGCAGAAAGGGCAGCAGCAGCAACAGAUGCAGCCGCAGCAGGAGGGUAGCAAUGACGCCAGUGAAGCAGAGGAACCUUCCAGACCACCUGCUAGGUUUCUGAGGGAGCCACCAAACCUAAAACUACCCAAUCUUCAUCCUCUGACCCCAGACGAUGACAUUGAACAUUUUUUAACCACAUUUGAAAGAAUAGCUACCGUGGGCCGCUGGAACCGGGAAGACUGGACUAUUCAUUUAGUUCCCCUUUUAACCGGCGAGGCACGGAGUGCUUAUGUGGCAAUGGAAAUUGAGCACAGCAAUGACUACCACAAGGUCAAGGAGUCUAUCUUGACCAAAUAUGAAAUCACGGCCAACACCUACCACCAAUGGUUUAGUUCCCUGGACAUUCAACGGUGGUGAAACCCCACAAGAACUGUAUGUAAGCCUCAAGGAUUUUUUUUCCAAAUGGACUAAGGUGAAACAAACCACCAUGAAGAAGCUUGCUGAGACUAUGAUCCUGGAACAGUUUCUAUGGAUGGUCAAUCCAGGAAUGGAAGUUUGGAUCAAGGAACCUGAUCCCAUGACCACUGAGGAAGCCGCACGUGUGGCUAAAGGCUUCGUCUCGGCCAGGAAGGGAAUCGGGAGCGCAGUCUUCCACAGAGACAACAGCUACUCAUCCAAGCUUGAAAGAAGCCCUGCAAAGUCAGGUGACCUCUCAGGAAACAGAAGCUCGCACCCAUCAGAGAGCUGACGUUAUGACAUGGAGGAGGAAAGGAGCAGCAUCACCACACAAUGAAUCUUCAAACCUCUUUGGUCUGAUGGUGCUGCAAGACUUGCUGGCACCUUCUACAAGCAGUACAGGAUUUUCCAUCAUGCCAUUUAUUAAAAUUCAUUCAUUUGUGUUAAUCAUCCAUAAUGGUAAUAACUAGCCAUAAUUAAACUGAAUAAAAAUCUG
Molecule: long non-coding RNA, 1233 nt
Organism: Anguilla anguilla (European eel)
Lineage: Eukaryota; Metazoa; Chordata; Actinopteri; Anguilliformes; Anguillidae
Exons: 2
Source: RefSeq, a predicted model, not a curated record